GCUGCUAAGAAGAGACCUGCUUGGGCCCAGGAGCUCAUGGAACUACAUUAAACAUCUUUGGUUCCACCCACCAUGUAAACUGCAGUGCAGGGGAGCAGAUGGUUUCUACAUGUGGAGGUGUGACGGUGUGCGGGGGCUUUGCUGGAGACACUGUUGGUGAUUUAAGGCCUACUUAAGGAGCGUCAUGCCACCUGGUUUGAGCUUAGCGGACCAGGACAAAGACCCCAACACACCUCCAGGCUCUGUGAGGGCUACCAAGAAGGAGUGGCCUCCACCAUCACCCCCCUAAACCCACUUGAGGGGGUCUGGGAGGAGUUGAACUGCAGAGUGAAGGCAAAGCAGCCAACAAGUGGAGCUGCUUGAAGACUCCUGGAGAACCUUCCAGGUGACUCCCUCGUGGAGCUGCUUGAAGACUCCUGGAGAACCUUCCAGGUGACUCCCUCGUGGAGCUGCUUGAAGACUCCUGGAGAACCUUCCAGGUGACUCCCCCGUGGAGCUGCUUGAAGACUCCUGGAGAACCUUCCACCGAGAAGGUGUCGACGUUUGACCGUGUUGCUCUUCUAUUUCUACACGUCAUGGAGCUACUUGUCUUAAUGUGUUGACAUUCUAACUUUAUAACAAUGAGCCGCCGAACUGCAUGACUGCUGCUACAUGAAAACACGGGAAAGAUACAAGAGGAAUCAUUUAUUACCAAAAUACGUCAGACGUACAAGGA
Gasterosteus aculeatus aculeatus (three-spined stickleback) is the source of this 715-nucleotide long non-coding RNA. NCBI's taxonomy places the organism in Eukaryota, Metazoa, Chordata, Actinopteri, Perciformes, Gasterosteidae. The record is from Ensembl.